GUAGAAUUCCAGGUGUAGCGGUGAAAUGCGUAGAGAUCUGGAGGAAUACCGGUGGCGAAGGCGGCCCCCUGGACGAAGACUGACGCUCAGGUGCGAAAGCGUGGGGAGCAAACAGGAUUAGAUACCCUGGUAGUCCACGCCGUAAACGAUGUCGACUUGGAGGUUGUGCCCUUGAGGCGUGGCUUCCGGAGCUAACGCGUUAAGUCGACCGCCUGGGGAGUACGGCCGCAAGGUUAAAACUCAAAUGAAUUGACGGGGGCCCGCACAAGCGGUGGAGCAUGUGGUUUAAUUCGAUGCAACGCGAAGAACCUUACCUGGUCUUGACAUCCAGAGAAUCCUGCAGAGAUGCGGGAGUGCCUUCGGGAACUCUGAGACAGGUGCUGCAUGGCUGUCGUCAGCUCGUGUUGUGAAAUGUUGGGUUAAGUCCCGCAACGAGCGCAACCCUUAUCCUUUGUUGCCAGCGGUUCGGCCGGGAACUCAAAGGAGACUG
This 490-nucleotide ribosomal RNA is filed under the name Cronobacter sakazakii. RNAcentral describes it as "bacterial SSU rRNA". It matches the Rfam family "Bacterial small subunit ribosomal RNA", at positions 661 to 1151 of the family's 1533-position model. Lineage: Bacteria; Pseudomonadati; Pseudomonadota; Gammaproteobacteria; Enterobacterales; Enterobacteriaceae. The record is from RNAcentral.